Molecule: transfer RNA, 76 nt
Filed under: Tenacibaculum sp. MAR_2010_89
Lineage: Bacteria; Pseudomonadati; Bacteroidota; Flavobacteriia; Flavobacteriales; Flavobacteriaceae
Also listed under: 2 other names
Description: tRNA_Asp_GTC
Rfam family: tRNA
About the family: Transfer RNA (tRNA) molecules are approximately 80 nucleotides in length. Their secondary structure includes four short double-helical elements and three loops (D, anti-codon, and T loops).
Source: RNAcentral
AGUACUGUAGCACAAUGGCUAGUGUGUCCGACUGUCUCUCGGAAAGUUGCGGGUUCAAAUCCCGUCAGUACUGCAA